Molecule: ribosomal RNA, 389 nt
Filed under: Boa constrictor (boa)
Lineage: Eukaryota; Metazoa; Chordata; Lepidosauria; Squamata; Boidae
Description: partial 12S ribosomal RNA
Rfam family: Bacterial small subunit ribosomal RNA (bases 45-389)
Source: RNAcentral
GCCUAAGAGUAACAAGGCAACAAACCAACACAAGUUGCUCGCCAAACCACUACGAGUGAAAACUUAAAACUUAAAAGACUUGACGGUACUUCACCCAACCUAGAGGAGCCUGUCUAAUAACCGAUAACCCACGAUCAACCCAACCGCCACUAGCCACUCAGCCUAUAUACCGCCGUCGCCAGCCCACCUUGUGAAAGAAACCAAGUGGGCACAAUAGUCCCACACUAACACGACAGGUCGAGGUGUAGCUUAUGGGGCGGACAAGGAUGGGCUACAUUAUCUAAACCAGAUAAAACGGAAAAAGCCGUGAAAACCAAGCCUUAUGAAGGAGGAUUUAGCAGUAAGAUGAGGACAUAAUACUCAACUGAAAACAAAGAAAUGAAGUGCGU